Molecule: small RNA, 557 nt
Filed under: Pan troglodytes (chimpanzee)
Lineage: Eukaryota; Metazoa; Chordata; Mammalia; Primates; Hominidae
Description: processed transcript
Source: RNAcentral
GGCCCCGCAGCAAGAUGGCGGACGAGAAAGACAGGGAAGGGCCUGGGAUACAACAGUGAUGAGAUGAGGCCUCGGACUUUACUGAACAAACAUCUAAUGGAAGGUGGAAGAAGAGACCAUCACACAAUGAUGGUGUUAUGGGGAACACAGGAGAGAUUGGAACAAUUAUCAGGUCAUUAGGAUGCUGCCCUACAGAAGGAGAGCUGCAUGAUCUGAUUGCAGAGGUAGAGGAAGAAGAACCCACUGGAUACAUUCGAUUCGAAAAAUUUCUUCCGGUGAUGACAGAAAUACUACUAGAAAGAAAAUACAGACCAAUUCCAGAAGAUGUCCUUCUUCGAGCUUUUGAGGUUUUAGAUUCAGCUAAACGUGGGUUUCUUACUAAGGACGAGCUGAUCAAGUAUAUGACUGAAGAAGGUAAGUGUGAUUUAUUACUUAUCACAAUGACUUAUGUGAGGAAUUAAUAAUUUGUUAACAGUUAUGCGAAAGUUAUAGGGGAUACUUUAAAAUCAGUCAUUCUGGUGAAAGUUAUUUACUGUUCCUGCUAUUUUGGCUUGGGG